Molecule: long non-coding RNA, 216 nt
Filed under: Lathyrus oleraceus (garden pea)
Lineage: Eukaryota; Viridiplantae; Streptophyta; Magnoliopsida; Fabales; Fabaceae
Description: Pisum sativum (pea) long non-coding RNA (PSAT_LNC040003)
Source: RNAcentral
UGCUAAAUUUUGUAUAUUGUUAUCAAGAAAUGAGAAGAUUGAUAGUGUUAUUAGUGUUCUUGUUUUGCUAAAUUUUGUAUAUUGUUAUCAAGAAAUGAGAAGAUUGGUAGUGUUAUUAGUGUUCUUGUUUUGCUAAAUUUUGUAUAUUGUUAUCAAGAAAUGAGAAGAUUGAUAGUGUUAUUAGUGUUCUUGUUUUGCUAAAUUUUGUAUAUUGUU